RNAcentral lists this transfer RNA (71 nucleotides) under Loxodonta africana (African savanna elephant). It matches the Rfam family "tRNA". From Rfam's summary of the family: Transfer RNA (tRNA) molecules are approximately 80 nucleotides in length. Their secondary structure includes four short double-helical elements and three loops (D, anti-codon, and T loops). Lineage: Eukaryota; Metazoa; Chordata; Mammalia; Proboscidea; Elephantidae. The record is from Rfam by way of RNAcentral.
UCCUGGGUGGCACAAAUUAAUGCUCUUGGCUGCUAACCAAAAGAUUGGAGGUUCAAGUCCAUCCUGAGGCA